GUUUCAUCUAACCUGUGUCUCCAGCCUCUAUAUGUAGUCCUAUAAACGGGUAAAUAAAAGUCUAGAGGUUUAAAGUAGAUCUCAAUUUUGGGGAGGUGGGGGCUUCUUCAUCCCAUCGCACUUCAACUGCAUCACCUCUGGACACGUACAAUGUGUGACUGUUAACUACUUUCAUGUAUUCAACCCUUUUUUUCUGUACGGUUUCUCAAAUAGCUAAAGUCCAAAAUUUUUGCAUGGAUAGGCUGACCAUAUCUUAGCCCGGCUCAGGCAAGUGCUGAUAAAGAAAGAAGGCAAGAGCCCUCCGUGGCUGUGUAAUGUUAAGAGGGUGAGAGAGCUGAACUUCCAGAGGCUGCACUCGACCCCCUCCUUGGACAGACGAGGAGCCCGAGGUCCCCAGAAGGCCACAUGUGAUCCCAAGGCCAGACAGCUUUGCUGGGCAUUAUGAGGGAGGCGUCUCUUCUGUUACACUCGCCUCUCUUUCCAAGGGUCAGAGAGAAGUGCAGAAUCUCAGGUUCAUUUUCAGACUUGGUUAGACCUAAGUCUGCCCUUCCUUCCUCAGAACUUGGCCAUUUGUGGUGCCUGGGUGACAUCUCUGUGCCAGUGUCUGGGACUUGGGCACCUGAUGUUAAUCCAAUUGUACAGCCUUUCAAUGAGAUUCUACUUCCUAGUGUGAAUGGGACAUACUCAUGUGACAAAAGAUUUCCAACCUGUGAGUUCAUGGAAAGUUAUACCAAAGAAGAAAAAAAAAAAAUCACAUUUUUUUUCUGCCCUUUACCCUUAUUUGUCACAGUGAAAUUGCAUCCUCACUUUUGCACACACAUCAAACUCGCUAACGUCUAUGGCUCCUAUGGACUGUAGCCAUAGAAUCAGAAUCACCUGGCAUGUCUCCCAGUCCGACCUCCCCUGGAGCAGGGUUGAGAAACCUGAAUGCCUACCAAGCACACCAGGUGAUUCUUAUUUACUCCAAAGAGUGAGACGUUACCUAAGGUUCCUGGAUAUUCUAUUUGGGCAGCUGUAAUCUCAUCAUAAUGAUGGUUAAAGUGUCCCUGGGCUUCGAGCCUCACAAGCAUCAUUGUCAGUGGACUGAUUGCCAUCCUCAGUGCCCCAGGGACUUUCACUUUAACCCGCAGCAGCCCCAGCAGGGAUUUUAGGAAUGGGUGGAUCUUUUCCUUCCAUGCCUCUUGACAUGGCAGGACCCGGCAGGACCCAGGGUUCAGGGCUCUGUCCGCAUUGGUCCAGCCUCAGGACUGUCCACGCCCUGGCCCUGCCCCUGAGCCCAGAUGUGUCGCUCACAGCUGCCUCUUGCACAUCUGCACCCGGGUCCCCAGCUGGCAUCUGAGCUCAACGCGCCCGGAAUGAUGGCAGCCCAUGACAGCCCGCCUUCCUCCCUCUGUGGAAUGGACCAAACCCUUUUCAGUCACCCUGGACUCCUCUUUCUCAUUUCCCGUCCAAUCUAAGAGCACACUUGUUCCCUCUAUUCCUUCAAAACACAUCUGGACACAUGGCCGUUUCCCGUCACCUCCAUUGCCAUCACCCUAGACCAAGAUACGAGCUUCACCUUGAUGACUUCACGUUUUUAGUCUCCCCUCUUCCCUCUUUAACCUCUUCUUCCAUCUAAUCACGUGGCUGCCAGAACUAUCUUUUACAAUAGAGGUCAUUUUACCCCAUCCUUGCUCAAACCCUGCAAUGAUCUUACAUGACUCGCAGUAUAAAACCCAAUCCUGGCCAUGGCUUUGCUCACCAGGCCUGACCCCUGGUUUCCCCCAUCCCCUCCUCUCACUGAUUACGGCAACCACAGGGGACUUGGUUGUCCUUCUGGAACAUCUUAGGCACCUUCCUCUUUCAGCAGUGAUGCCCUUGCUGUUUCAUGCCUGGUACCUCCUUUAUACCUGGUACCUUGGAUAAUCCACGUUCAAGUGCUCAUGCGUCACCAGCCCCCAAGUCUCUCCAGCCCUCUCCGUCUCUGGAUCUGGCAUUAUUUUUCUUCCUAGCACUCAGCACCACCUGCCAUUAUAAUGUGCAUUUGUUUGGUCUUCCCCCAGUUGCAGGUGAACUCCCUGAGGGCAGAAAUUUGUUAUCAAUGUAUCCCCAGGCCUAUGCAGAGCUUGGCACUCUUAAUAUUUGUUGGCAGAACGGAUGGAUGGAUGGAAAGAUGGAUAAUAUAUGUGGUUUAUUCUAGCCCAGUAAUUCAUUAAAGACGAGAGGUGUUUGCCUAGAAUUAUGUCAGAAUAACCUCAUACCUUUGAAAUUAAUUACUGAGUUCCUUGACAUAAGCAUUUCCAUGGCAACAAAUGUAAUUCACGCUCACCACUGCUUAGUUUAUUUUUGCUUAUACAUCAGUAUACAAAGUGAGAGGAGUUUUACCGAGAGGAUGAUUGUGGGUGGGACUGGUAUUUUAGAGGAAUAAAUGCUAGGAUUAAUAAAUAGCUAGGAUUGAGAGAGCUUUGGUCUGGAGUACUUGAAUGAUUGCUUUUUUACUGGGUGUGCGUGUUUGUGAGGGUGUGAAGGAUGUGAAGAUGGCCUUGAGGGCAGAAUUUGAUAAUCAGGUUGCAGGAGAGCAGAGAUAGUGCCUGGAAAAGUGUAUUAUUCACGUCUGAGAAGUUUAGCCAUUCACAAAUCACCGAUAUAUAUGCAGAAAAAGUUUUCCUAGGUCUAUGCCAAUCCAAGCAUCAUUUGUUGUAGGAAAGGUUGACAGAAUUUGGCCAUUCUGAAGACUUUUGGCUUCAGAAUCCCUUUACACCCUUAAAAAUUCUUCAGGGUCCUCAAAAGUUUUUUAUGUGGGUUAUGCCUAUUGAUAUUUACCAUAUUCUGGUUAAAAUGGAAUUAAAACUUUAAUUCAUGAGGAAAAACAAACCCACUACAUGUUAAUAUAAAUAACAUAUCUUUUCAUGGUAGAUAACAAAAUUUCCAAGGCAAAAACAUUUUAUGAGAAGAAUAGCAUGGUUUCACUUUUUUGUCACUGUCACUAGUGUCUUACUGCCCUGCAUUUAGUCUUUGGGGACAUCCCACACCAUGUGGCCUCUGGAAAACUCCACUCGAGAGUGUGAAAAUCAAAUAAUUUCCUGGUAUUAGAUCUUUUGACCCUUGGACCCCCUGAGGGGUCUUUUGGACCCGUAGGAGGUCCCUGGACCACACUGUUAGGACUUUUGGAAUAAUACAGUUGACUGAGGGCUUUACAGAAGACAGAGGUAUUGCUUGAUGCCUCCUGUAUACUCCAUUAAAAAACCCUGAUUUUGCACAAAAGAGCAAAUACUGCAUGAUUCCACUUAGAAUAGUCCAGUCCACAGAGACAGAAACUAGAAUGGUGGCUGCCAGGAGCGAGGGGUAGGGGAGAAAGAUGAAGAGUUUAACGGGGACAGAGUUUCAGUUUGGGAAGAUGAAAAUGUUCUGGAGAUGGAGGGUGGUUAUAGAAGCACAACAAUGUAAAUGUGCUUGAUGCCACUGAGUUUUACACUUGAAAACGGUUAAAAUGGUAAAUUUUGUGUUAUGUGUAUUUUACCACAGUACAAAAAACCCAUUAAUUUAAAACUACAAGCACAAUAUGUCUUUAUGAAGAAGCAAGCUUCGUGUAAAUCUGUAACGUAGAAAGUGAAGCUUCCUCCUCUAAAGUAACCACUUUAAUAGUUCAGAAUCCAUGUCUUCUGAUUUUUCGUUGAGCAUUUACUUAAUAGAAAAGCAUGAAGGGGCUUUACAUGCAUUAUCUUAAGGCGGAGAAUUUAUUCUCACCAUUUGACAGAUGAGGAAGCCGAGGCCCAGAGAAUUUAAGUAACCUGUCCAUGGCUGGUAAAGGGGUUGAGCUAGGUCUGUACUUUUAACAUAGAGAUGGGUAGCUGGCUAUAGUUUCUACGUGAGUUUUUGUAAAGUGUGAAUAUUUCUGUGAAUUAAGCUAAAGCAGUUACUGGGGUUUGAUUACAUUUGGGACCAAACCAGUCUCUAGUCAUGAGGAAGGCGAUGAGCACAAUUCACUUUUGCCAAAUUGCAUUUGAGAGGUGCGUUCUUAAAGACAGUCAAUAAUCGAACACUUUGAAUAAUUCAAGACUAUUUUCCCCGUGGAACUGACCAAGACCCCAGAUAUUUUAACCCUGGAAAGUGCUAAAUAAACUACACCACCAGGUGGCGCUGUUGUGAACAAGCUUCGUUUACUCGUCCAACCAGCUUUGCUAUUCAACUAUUUGGGACAAAAUUUCCCAAGACAGAGCAAUAGUGAUUUGUGUUAUUGCAAAUGCUGCAGGGACUAUGAGACUCUAUUAAUGUGAUUUUAUUGAAAUAUUUAACAUUUUUGUAGUUCAACAUCCCACGAGCUAACCUUUAUGUUCAUUACUCAGUGACUGUAACUCUGCAGUAGAAUGACACCACUUCUAUUUUGAUGUUUAUUUCCGGGAAUGCCCCAAACCCAGUUUAAUUAAAAAAAAAAAAAAAAAGGAAGAAAGAAACUGGUCACCAUCGUCUUCUCCUCUUUGCCUCAGAUGUUGGCUUCAGAGAGAGCCAGGGGCAGGAUGGAGAUGCCUCUGCCUUCUAGUUUACAGGGAGGAUGUGGGGCAGGAAGGUACAGGUUCAAAUCAGUGAUCCUGGAGAGUGGGGGGAGGGUGUGGUGAAGUCCCAACAUUAAAGGAAAUCUAGUCCUGGAGGAAGGAGCCUCUCGGCUCGAGGAGGAGCGGAUUGACCUUUGCCCUCUCGCCCUCUCCUCUUUCUCUACGAACCCAUCCUGCUUUCCUGUCUCCCUGCUUCUCUUCCCUCCCCCCUCUCCCCCCUUCUAAGGUGACUCCAUCAAGAACUUCCGGAAGUAGAUCUGGCUUUACUGUGGCUCGUGCAAAGGUCCUGGGUUACUCAAGAACAGUGAAAAGGCGCAGGUGGCCGGCUGGCCAGGUGGCUGAGGAGACAGGAGAUGGGGACCUGCUGGCUGUUGGAAGGAUUUGACUUUUGCUCUGAGCAUGAUGGGGAACUACUGAGGGCUUUGAGCAGAGGAUUAACAUGAUUGGACUUAGUCACAGCCGUAUUCCAGCUCCAUGCCGGGGCAUGGUCAUUGAGUCACUGAGGCUACCUCCAAGUGGGGUUGAACUUUCACACAGUAGAGACCCUGUGGGGCUGCUCAUCCCACUAUGUUGAACUUGUUUCCCAUUCCUGGAAGGCCCCACCUGUUGGUGCAUCUGAACCCCAUGAGGAAGGUCGGGAGGGCUUCCUGGAAGUGUCACCUAAUCUGAGACUUGCACAUGGACCUGAGAGGGUUUGCGCCUGCUGUUCCCUUCCAACUUCCCUCUGGAGGUUGAAGGCAGAAAGACCCACUUCAGGGAUCAUCAGUAGGUGGGAUCCACUUGAGUAAGAGAAUUUUCUGCCAGGGCAGGGUUUGAAGAGGCUGCAGAGGUGUUGGUUAGCCGGCUAAGGAGUUUCCAUUAUCAUGUGGCCAACAGAUGCAGGGUGCAAAGCUGCAGGACGACAAGAUCCAUGGUUUUAUCGACCAGAAGCAGUAAGGCAAUGUCAAAAAUCAACAGCAAGACUUGAACUUUUGGUUGAACUUGUAUUAACUCUCCCUCAUUAUUAUCGGUUAGUUUUGAAGGUGAGCAGGCAAGUGUAGCAAAUUGGAAAAUGGAAUCCUCUAAUGACUCUUUUUAUUGCCUUUUGCUGAUCCUUAAUAUAAAGCAAAUAAUCGUAAAUCACAGCCAGCUCAAUGGCUUCCUUUCAUCUACAAUACAAACGACGCCUGGGGUUGAGAAGUUUACAGAUUUUCAGAAGUAGCAUCCGCCUGACUGGACCCCAGCUGACACAGCGAGGUCUUACUUUAUGCAAAUUUGAAAUUGUGAGUUAGACACAUGUUAGCGUUCCAUGGUACGCACCAAAUUUGCAAUAGUGUGAAUGCUGCAAAAUUAGAAAUUCUCUGAGAAUCUUCAUUCAGGCAGUGUGGACUGAAGGUUGGGGACACAUCAUUGCCACAUGGUGGCGCCCGUCAUCAGGUAAACAGAAACGUGUGUGCUCCUUUGUUGAGAUGUGAAUUAUGUGGCUUCAAAUGAUGCAUUUUCUUCCCUUGAAAAACAAGCAGCUGCUGUGUAGUUCCAAGCUGGAUUUGUCUUUGAAACUAAAGGGCAUGUGACAUAAGAAAACAUUAAAAAAUUCAACUGAAAUGUUGUAGCUGAUAGCGUUUCCUUAUGUCAUAGCCCGUUCCAUACUGUUGAAAUGGCCAUUUAUGUAAAAAUAAACAACAUCACACAUGCAAAUGGUUAAAACAGACAAAUAGUGUUUAUAGUGCAAAACGAGGGUCUUGCACUACCUCCCUACUCCCUCAGUGCUGCUCUUCUGAUGCAAGACCGUUUUUCCAAGCUUCUACUGGCAUUACCAGCGUUAUGGCUACUAGCUCUUGUCUCUCGAAUCCUCUCCAUUCCACUGUGCCAGGAUUUUUAGCUUGCCCGUUGCAGUGUUUCUCAGUGGGGGCACUGUUGGCAUUUUGGGGGGGACAAAGUUGUGUGGCGUGGGACUGACCAUUUAUUGUAAGAUGGAACGUUAGCAUUCCUGCCCACACCCCUACCCAAGGUGGAGGAUCUACCUGUUACGUGAGAAAAAUAUUUCCAAGUGUCCUUGGGGUGGGCAGCAUCUCCUUCAGUUGAGAACAGCUGCUCUGCUGCGGACCUUCUGCCUCCCCUCUUGUGAAAUGAUGAUAAUGAUGGUGUCUGCCCCGUCUCAUCACAUCUCUGCUUCCACUUCUCAAUUUAUGUUAUUUGUACUUUUUCUGUUCCAUGUUCAAGACUGGUGACACUUGAUCUGGGUUCUGUAACCAUAAGAACCAUAAGAACUUGGUCCAUACUUAUCGAGUUUGAUUCUAAAAGCUGAAAAAUCGGUAGUUAUAACUAUGCCAGUGUCUCUAUGCCUUUACCUAUUCUGGAUAUUUCAUACAAAUGGACUCAUACAAUAUGGACCUUUCUGUGCCUGGCUUUUUCACUCAGCAUCAUGUUUUGAAGGUUUACCCAUGUGACAGCAGGAAUCAGUGCUUUGUUCCUUUUCAUGGCUGAAUAAUAUUCCAUUGUAUGGAUACGGCACAUUUCCCUAUCUUCCAUUUGUUGAUAGGCGUUUGGGUUGUUUCUGCCUUUUGGCUGUUGGGAAUAGUGCUGCUAGGAACUUGCACGUACACGUUUCUGUUUGAAUAUCUGUUUUCAGUUCUUUUGA
Long non-coding RNA from Orcinus orca (killer whale), 7152 nucleotides. RefSeq lists it as uncharacterized. The record is from RefSeq and is a predicted model, not a curated record. The transcript is spliced from 2 exons. NCBI's taxonomy places the organism in Eukaryota, Metazoa, Chordata, Mammalia, Artiodactyla, Delphinidae.